CACCGACGGAGCAAAGCCGCAGGGUCCAGGACUGCUACCAUGGUGAUGGAUUGAGGAUCAUUCUCCACCACUGUCACAGGAAGGACAUAUCAGUCUUGGUCCUCUGUGACACCACACCAGCAUCAGAGGACCACAGAAUACUACCCAAAUGGCCUGACCAGGAACAACUGCAAGAAUCCAGAUGCUGAGAUUCACCCUUGGAGUUACACCAUGGGUCCCAGUGUCAGGUGGGAGUACUGCAGCCUGAUGCAAUGCCUGGUGACAGAAUCAAGUGUCCUCAUGACUCCCACUGUGGUCCUAAUUCCAAGCACAGAGACUCCUUUUGAACCAGCACCAGCUGAGCAAAGUCCUGCAGUCCAGGAGUGCUACCAAGGUGAUGAACAGAGCUAUUGAGGCAAUUUUUCACCAUAUCACAGGAAGAACAUGUCAGUCUUGGUCCUCUAUGACCCCACACUGGCACCGGUGGAUUUUACUGCACUAUCCAAAAGC
RNAcentral lists this long non-coding RNA (489 nucleotides) under Homo sapiens (human). RNAcentral's name for it is "non-protein coding lnc-MAP3K4-3:1". The record is from RNAcentral. Lineage: Eukaryota; Metazoa; Chordata; Mammalia; Primates; Hominidae.